This 497-nucleotide ribosomal RNA is filed under the name uncultured bacterium. Its description in RNAcentral is "partial 16S ribosomal RNA". It matches the Rfam family "Bacterial small subunit ribosomal RNA", at positions 28 to 507 of the family's 1533-position model. The record is from RNAcentral.
GAUGAACGCUGGCUGCGUGCCUAAUACAUGCAAGUCGAGCGAACAGAUGAGGAGCUUGCUCCUCUGACGUUAGCGGCGGACGGGUGAGUAACACGUGGAUAACCUACCUAUAAGACUGGGAUAACUUCGGGAAACCGGAGCUAAUACCGGAUAAUAUAUUUAACCUCAUGGUUCAAUAGUGAAAGGCGGUUUUGCUGUCACUUAUAGAUGGAUCCGCGCCGCAUUAGCUAGUUGGUAAUGUAACGGCUUACCAAGGCAACGAUGCGUAGCCUACGUGAGAGGGGGAUCGGCCACACUGGAACUGAGACACGGUCCAGACUACUACGGUAGGCAGCAGAAGGGAAUCUUCCGGAAUGGGCGAAAGCCUGACGGAGAAACGCCGAGUGAGUGAUGAAGGUCUUCGGAUCGUAGAACUCUGUUAUUAGGGAAGAACAAAUGUGUAAGGAACUAGGCACGUCUUGAAGGUACCUAAUCAGAAAGCAACGGCUAACUACGUG